RNAcentral lists this ribosomal RNA (478 nucleotides) under uncultured bacterium. RNAcentral describes it as "bacterial SSU rRNA". It matches the Rfam family "Bacterial small subunit ribosomal RNA", at positions 35 to 507 of the family's 1533-position model. The record is from RNAcentral.
GGCUCGAGGACGAACGGCUGGCGGCGUGCCUAACACAUGCAAGUCGAGCGGGGUCCAUCCGGUAGCAAUACCGGGGAAGACCUAGCGGCGAACGGGUGAGUAACACGUGAGAAACCUGCCCCGAAGUCUGGGAUAACCCGAGGAAACUCGAGCUAAUACCGGAUGUCUUCUUCUGAUCGCAUGGUCGGAUGAAGAAAGAUUUAUCGCUUCGGGAGGGUCUCGCGGCCUAUCAGCUAGUUGCGGGGUAACGGCCCACCAAGGCGUCGACGGGUAGCUGGUCUGAGAGGACGAUCAGCCACACUGGGACUGAGACACGGCCCAGACUCCUACGGGAGGCAGCAGUGGGGAAUAUUGCGCAAUGGGCGAAAGCCUGACGCAGCAACGCCGCGUGCGGGAUGAAGGCCCUCGGGUUGUAAACCGCUUUCAGUGGGGACGAAUUCAGACGGUACCCACAGAAGAAGCCCCGGCCAACUACGUG